AGGAUCAGGAUGCUCUGACCACUUCUGGAAAUGCUUCAUUGAAUGUGCUUCUGGAAUCAAUAACCCAUCUUGUGGGGACCAGUGAAACCCUCUCCAAGUAUGACACAAGUGCAGGACAUCAUUCGACAAUUGAUCAUUCGAUGAUCACAAUCAUCAUUCAACAAUUCUGCUCAUCAGACCUGCCUCUCCUCUUAAAACUAAGCUCCUUCCAUGAGGAUCCUGAACUGAUGGACAAGACCUCACAUGGACUCAUCUCUGCCAACAAUACGUUUAAAUAGCCAUCUCCCGCCCAGUACAGGACUCUUAAAGGAAGUUCACCAUAUUUCAUCUGUGCUAAGUAUCUCACCCAGUACAAUUAUCAGGGGAUCUCAGAUGUAGAAUCUUUUUUAGAUCUGCCUUUUUCCCCUUAUAGAUGGAGGUAUUAUAGAAUAGUGAUUAAGAGGAUGGACUUAAGAGCCCAGAUACCUGCGCUCGCAUUUCAACUCAGCCUUGAGCAAGUUUCUUUAACCUCUCUAAGUACCAAUUUCUAUAUUUGUGGAAUGGGGGGAUGAUAAUAUCUACCUCAUAAUGUUAUGGGACUAUCAAAAUUGCCCAUAAGCUGGAUCAUAAAGCAAGCCUCAACUGAUUUUGAAGUAUUGAAAUUCUUUAAAGUAUGACCUCUGCAAGUAAGAUAGAAGUUAAUGAUAAAGUACUAGAAAGUUCCCAGAGGCUCAGAAGUUAAUAAUCUGUGGCUCUAAUAACGUAUUCAAGUUUUGUCUACUUGAUUUUCCUACAUGCAUUUGUAUACCUCAAAGCUGCCAAGCAGAGAAGCUGACUCAGUCUAACCUCUCUGAUGCCUCCCUGAGCCAUCCCACACAGAAAACUGGGUGAUACAGGACACUCACAAUCUUGGGCUUGGUCUUCCUUUCUCACAUGGGAGCAUAUAUUCACGCCACACAGGAGAGUGUCACCCCCCCUCUCAGUAUACACAUUUAUAUACACAAUUAGGUGAAUUUCCUAUAAUUUUCCAGAUUCCAAAAGAGAAGAUUUGUAAGCAAAGCAUAGUUUAGCCAGUUCAUGGUUUUCUCUUCAGUAGCUAUAGGAAUCACAAGAGGGCAAAACUGAAGAUUAAAGACACUCUUUCUCCCA
This is a long non-coding RNA of Mustela lutreola (European mink), 1128 nucleotides long. RefSeq lists it as uncharacterized. The transcript is spliced from 2 exons. The record is from RefSeq and is a predicted model, not a curated record. NCBI's taxonomy places the organism in Eukaryota, Metazoa, Chordata, Mammalia, Carnivora, Mustelidae.